This 208-nucleotide long non-coding RNA is filed under the name Elaeis guineensis (African oil palm). Its description in RNAcentral is "long non-coding RNA (EGUI_LNC042970)". The record is from RNAcentral. Lineage: Eukaryota; Viridiplantae; Streptophyta; Magnoliopsida; Arecales; Arecaceae.
AAUGAACAAAUUAUAAUUUAAAAAUUUUCAUAACUCUUAUAAAAGUUACCUCGAUGUGCAGUGGAAAGAUGAUCAAGAUUAAUUGAUUCAUGAAGGUCGUUGGUUCACGAGAUCCAGAUGUCCAGACCCUCUACUUCGCUCGCAUACUAAGCAAUAUAGGAGAGAGGGAUGAAGAUCUUCUUCAGAAGGGAAGGAGAAAAGAGCUUUG